CAUAUCAAUAAGCGGAGGAAAAGAAACUAACAAGGAUUCCCCUAGUAACUGCGAGUGAAGCGGGAAAAGCUCAAAUUUAAAAUCUGUCAGUCUUUGGCUGUCCGAGUUGUAAUCUAGAGAAGUGUUAUCCGCGCUGGACCGUGUACAAGUCUCCUGGAAUGGAGCGUCAUAGAGGGUGAGAAUCCCGUCUUUGACACGGACUGCCAGUGCUUUGUGAUGCGCUCUCAAAGAGUCGAGUUGUUUGGGAAUGCAGCUCAAAAUGGGUGGUAAAUUCCAUCUAAAGCUAAAUAUUGGCGAGAGACCGAUAGCGAACAAGUACCGUGAGGGAAAGAUGAAAAGAACUUUGGAAAGAGAGUUAAACAGUACGUGAAAUUGCUGAAAGGGAAACGCUUGAAGUCAGUCGCGUUGUCCAGGGAUCAACCUUGCUUUUGCUUGGUGUACUUCCUGGUUGACGGGUCAGCAUCAAUUUUGACCAUUGGAAAAAGAUUAGGGGAAUGUGGCAUCUUCGGAUGUGUUAUAGCCCCUGGUUGUAUACAAUGGUUGGGAUUGAGGAACUCAGCACGCCGCAAGGCCGGGUUUUUAACCACGUACGUGCUUAGGAUGCUGGCAUAAUGGCUUUAAUCGACCCGUCUUGAAACACGGACCAAGGAGUCUAACAUGCCUGCGAGUGUUUGGGUGGAAAACUCGAGCGCGUAAUGAAAGUGAAAGUUGAGAUCCCUGUCGUGGGGAGCAUCGACGCCCGGACCAGACCUUUUGUGACGGUUCCGCGGUAGAGCAUGUAUGUUGGGACCCGAAAGAUGGUGAACUAUGCCUGAAUAGGGUGAAGCCAGAGGAAACUCUGGUGGAGGCUCGUAGCGAUUCUGACGUGCAAAUCGAUCGUCAAAUUUGGGUAUAGGGGGCGAAAGACUAAUCCCGAACCCUCCUAGUAGCUUGGUUCCUGCC
Molecule: ribosomal RNA, 942 nt
Filed under: Cortinarius cartilagineus
Lineage: Eukaryota; Fungi; Basidiomycota; Agaricomycetes; Agaricales; Cortinariaceae
Description: partial large subunit ribosomal RNA
Rfam family: Eukaryotic large subunit ribosomal RNA
Source: RNAcentral